ACGGGUGGUAAUGCCGGAUGCUCCAGUUGAUCGCAUGGUCUUCUGGGAAAGCUUUCGCGGUAUGGGAUGGGGUCGCGUCCUAUCAGCUUGACGGCGGGGUAACGGCCCACCGUGGCUUCGACGGGUAGCCGGCCUGAGAGGGCGACCGGCCACAUUGGGACUGAGAUACGGCCCAGACUCCUACGGGAGGCAGCAGUGGGGAAUAUUGCACAAUGGGCGCAAGCCUGAUGCAGCGACGCCGCGUGAGGGAUGGAGGCCUUCGGGUUGUAAACCUCUUUUAUCGGGGAGCAAGCGUGAGUGAGUUUACCCGUUGAAUAAGCACCGGCUAACUACGUGCCAGCAGCCGCGGUAAUACGUAGGGUGCAAGCGUUAUCCGGAAUUAUUGGGCGUAAAGGGCUCGUAGGCGGUUCGUCGCGUCCGGUGUGAAAGUCCAUCGCUUAACGGUGGAUCCGCGCCGGGUACGGGCGGGCUUGAGUGCGGUAGGGGAGACUGGAAUUCCCGGUGUAACGGUGGAAUGUGUAGAUAU
Molecule: ribosomal RNA, 526 nt
Filed under: Bifidobacterium longum subsp. infantis
Lineage: Bacteria; Bacillati; Actinomycetota; Actinomycetes; Bifidobacteriales; Bifidobacteriaceae
Also listed under: 1 other name
Description: bacterial SSU rRNA
Rfam family: Bacterial small subunit ribosomal RNA
Source: RNAcentral